This 150-nucleotide ribosomal RNA is filed under the name Citrobacter sp. FBT4-12. Its description in RNAcentral is "partial 16S ribosomal RNA". It matches the Rfam family "Bacterial small subunit ribosomal RNA", at positions 355 to 497 of the family's 1533-position model. The record is from RNAcentral. Lineage: Bacteria; Pseudomonadati; Pseudomonadota; Gammaproteobacteria; Enterobacterales; Enterobacteriaceae.
UGGGGAAUAUUGCACAAUGGGCGCAAGCCUGAUGCAGCCAUGCCGCGUGUAUGAAGAAGGCCUUCGGGUUGUAAAGUACUUUCAGCGAGGAGGAAGGCGUUAAGGUUAAUAACCUUAGCGAUUGACGUUACUCGCAGAAGAAGCACCGGG